UACGGAGGGGGCUGGCGUUGUUCGGAAUUACUGGGCGUAAAGCGCACGUAGGCGGCUUUGUAAGUUAGAGGUGAAAGCCCGGAGCUCAACUUCGGAAUUGCCUUUAAGACUGCAUCGCUUGAAUCAUGGAGAGGUCAGUGGAAUUCCGAGUGUAGAGGUGAAAUUCGUAGAUAUUCGGAAGAACACCAGUGGCGAAGGCGACUGACUGGACAUGUAUUGACGCUGAGGUGCGAAAGCGUGGGGAGCAAACAGG
RNAcentral lists this ribosomal RNA (253 nucleotides) under uncultured bacterium. RNAcentral's name for it is "partial 16S ribosomal RNA". It matches the Rfam family "Bacterial small subunit ribosomal RNA", at positions 524 to 776 of the family's 1533-position model. The record is from RNAcentral.